RNAcentral lists this long non-coding RNA (1483 nucleotides) under Onthophagus taurus. RNAcentral's name for it is "uncharacterized LOC111416725, transcript variant X3". The record is from RNAcentral. Lineage: Eukaryota; Metazoa; Arthropoda; Insecta; Coleoptera; Scarabaeidae.
CUACCUAUUGAAGAUAAUUUGGUAGUAUUAUCAAUUAAACGACGAUUUUUGAUGUCGACGAUAAUGUCGAAUUUGUUUAAGAAAUCAGCGCCAAUAAUUGGUUUGUUGACAUCAGCAAUUGUGAAAACAUGUAAUUAUUGGCGUACCAUUUGCAGCCGUUAAUGUAGAAAUGGUAUCUCUCUUAUGUUUACGAAAGAAUUUAUAAGGCAGCACAGAGAUGUCUGCUCCUGUAUCAAUCAGAAAAUUUAAAUUGGAUUGGUUAUCGUAAACAUAAAGACGAGAACUGAUUUGAUUAAUUAUCGGUUUUUUUGGUUCUGUGAAGAUGAUGAAAGAUUUGUGUCUUUAAAGGAAUUAUAAAACAUACAUUCUUUUUCGCAGUUUCGUGCUUUAUCGCCAUACUUGGAAUGAUAAUAACAGAUAUGGUUUUGACGUUGCCUGGAAGAACUUCUUGGACGAGGUGAUCGAUACCUUAACAUCUUACAAUUAUAGCAAAGAUUUGUUGCUAUGUCAGGUUCGUUAAGUCGAGCAGCAAGAGAGUUAAUGCUCGUCUGGAUAUUUGAUUGCCAUUGAUGAAGUUGUUGUGAGUUUUUAUCAAUAGAAACUGAAAGGUUAUUUAUGGCUUGUAACAAUUGAGAAGUUGUAUGCACAUUGGAAGAGGACUCGUCGUUAAUUUUGUUGACUUCAAUUUUAGGAAAACGAGUCGUUGAAAAAGAUAAUGAAUCCCAGAUUUUAUCGGCUAUGUUAAGCAAAUCAUUGAUCUCAUCUUUACCUGAAGACAAUAACGCUACCGAGAUAGUUUGGGGCAAUCUUCUCUGCCAAAGUUUUAGCAAUAAAUUUGGACUUACGACUUGCGAUCCACCGACUGUCGAUAACAUACUCCUAUAGAAAUCAGAUGGUUUUUGAUCUCCCAUCUGAGAGCCGGAAAGGAGAUCAUCAAGACGUUUCUCUUCACUUAGAGAAAGCCUAUUGAUCAAAGUGUUUUUUAAGUAUAAGUAUGAAUCGAUAUCCGGUGGAGCAUCUACGACGUCGUAAACAAUCGAAACUAUCUCGGUUGAAUUGCGCUUCAAUUUGGUGAAACCAUGCAGCAGGAUUUGCAUUCCAGAAGGGAGGCAAUCUAAUAUUGGUGACAAUGUCAACGCUUUGAUCACCAGAAGUAUUCAUGAUUGUGGUUUCGUCUCUAAAAAUCCGGAUGUAGACUCGUGGAUGGUCGCUGGAUAGGUAUCACCAAGUCGUUGUGGAAAAAUAGCAGGCUCGGUCACUGGUGCGAGGUUGGGGAGAAUUGGAUGAAGAAAACGACGAAGACAAUUCUAAUUUACGUCAAAUCUUUCACUUCUUUCUCCAAAACGUCGGGUUCUUAUUGGUUCUUAUAACUUAACGUUGGGUUACUUCUUUUUCGAUGUCGGGUUAGUUCUUGUUCGGGGUCACCAAUUUGUGGGACAAUUUAAAAAGAGAGUAAAACCAAUUUGCGUUACAACGUGACUUG